UGCAUGGCAUGAGGAGAGAGAGAAGAAAGUGGGUUGGAGAUAAGUCUCAACAUCCACCAAGAAUGGCUAAAGACCCAAUUAUUAGUUGGUCGACGUCAUAUGAAGAGUUACUUUCUACUAAUGAACCUUUUGCAGAGCCAAUACCUUUGCCGGAGAUGGUAGAUUUCUUGGUUGAUAUUUGGCAUGACGACGGGCUCUUUGACUAAUUGUUCCAAGGUUGAAAUAAAUGUCGACUGAAGCAAGAACCCUGUAAAGCCUUAAAGCUCCAUUCAUUUGCCACUCACUGGUCAUGAUGGUUAUAAGAGAGGGGAUACUAUUGAGGAUCAUUACUUUAUCCUCCUAGUACAUUUUUUUCUUUUUCGCAAGAAAACAGAUGGAAAGUCCCUAGUUCUCGUUGAUUUAAGAGAAAAACCAAUUGAUA
This is a long non-coding RNA of Neltuma alba, 421 nucleotides long. RefSeq lists it as uncharacterized. The record is from RefSeq and is a predicted model, not a curated record. NCBI's taxonomy places the organism in Eukaryota, Viridiplantae, Streptophyta, Magnoliopsida, Fabales, Fabaceae. The transcript has 3 exons.